UACGUUGGGGGCAAGCGUUGUCCGGAAUUAUUGGGCGUAAAGAGCUCGUAGGCGGUUUGUCGCGUCUGCUGUGAAAACCCGAGGCUCAACCUCGGGCCUGCAGUGGGUACGGGCAGACUAGAGUGCGGUAGGGGAGAUUGGAAUUCCUGGUGUAGCGGUGGAAUGCGCAGAUAUCAGGAGGAACACCGAUGGCGAAGGCAGAUCUCUGGGCCGUAACUGACGCUGAGGAGCGAAAGCAUGGGGAGCGAACAGG
Molecule: ribosomal RNA, 253 nt
Filed under: uncultured bacterium
Lineage: Bacteria
Description: partial 16S ribosomal RNA
Rfam family: Bacterial small subunit ribosomal RNA
Source: RNAcentral